Molecule: transfer RNA, 89 nt
Filed under: Equus caballus (horse)
Lineage: Eukaryota; Metazoa; Chordata; Mammalia; Perissodactyla; Equidae
Rfam family: tRNA
About the family: Transfer RNA (tRNA) molecules are approximately 80 nucleotides in length.
Source: Rfam by way of RNAcentral
CCUUCGAUAGCUCAGUUGGUAGAGCGGAGGACUGUAGUGUAAAGCUCCCAGGCAUCCUUAGGUCGCUGGUUCGAGUCCGGCUCGAAGGA